AGAGUAAAAAGCAGUUUGCCCCCUAAACUAUGACCCGUUUUGCGCUUUGCCCCCCAAACAAUUUUUUUUUGCACGUUUUUACCUAAACUCGUUUUUUUGUUGCACGGUACCCUAAAUGUGGUAUUUUCCGGCAAAUGUGACCGGAAUCUCACGCACGUGCCAUUCACGCGAGAUUUGGAGGGGCAAAUUUGUCUUUUUACUUUUAUUCAUGUCUGACCUCAGCAACUCACCCAAAACCACCGUUCUGCCCUUGAUCGCCGCCAGAUGAAGUGGGCUCCUCCCAUCUCCGUCCAAAACACAGCACAUCGAAGAAUCUAUUGAAACUAGCUCCUUCACUAUUGUCACGUGCCCUUUUGCUGAUGCAAAGUGAAGGGCUGAAGACCCUUUUGAAUUCAGUGAUUUUGAUAGCUAGGAAUUUGUGCUAAGAAGUUUGUUGAUGAAUUCCACGUGUCCCAGAAGCACUGUUGUGCGUAAUUGAUUUUCAGACAUGGAAGAAAUGCUUGAGCUUUGGAGGAGUUGACGAUUUUCUUCUAGAAGCUCUGUAAGAAGUGAAAUUGAGCCUAUUAUUGCUGUUUUUUUUAUCAAAUUUUUUUUUUUUGAUUCUGAUUCUGAAAUUAUGAAAGAUUUUUUUUUAUUCUGAUUAUGAAAGUAUGAAAGAUUUUUUUUUUUUUUUUUUUUUUGAGGAUUUGAGCUUUAUUUGCAGACUCCAAUUAGGACAGGGUUUUUUUUUUCUUCAGGGUCCAGAGUCAAAGGUUGUGAAUCGGCGGCUGGGGGCAGCGAGAUUUUCUGGUUGGCCGCUGGGAUGGGUUGGGAGGGUGGUGGGCGACAGAAAGAAGAAGAUGGUACUUUUUUUUUUAAAUAUAUUUUAUUUUUAUUUUUUUAAUUAUUAAUUCAUAAUUAAUAUAUAGGAUAUAAAUGUAGUGACGAAUUUACCCCUGCAAAUAUCACGUGCAACGCACGUGUUUUAACAUUCCGAUCAAAAUUGUCGGAAACUUAAGUUUAGGGGGCACCGUACAACGAAUUAACGAGUUCAGGUAAAAACGUGCAAAUUUUUUUUAUUUAGGGGGCAAAGUGCAAAACGACCCAUAGUUUGG
Molecule: long non-coding RNA, 1094 nt
Filed under: Erythranthe guttata (spotted monkey flower)
Lineage: Eukaryota; Viridiplantae; Streptophyta; Magnoliopsida; Lamiales; Phrymaceae
Description: long non-coding RNA (EGUT_LNC000756)
Source: RNAcentral